Molecule: ribosomal RNA, 81 nt
Filed under: Anaphothrips sudanensis
Lineage: Eukaryota; Metazoa; Arthropoda; Insecta; Thysanoptera; Thripidae
Description: partial 5.8S ribosomal RNA
Rfam family: 5.8S ribosomal RNA
About the family: 5.8S ribosomal RNA (5.8S rRNA) is a component of the large subunit of the eukaryotic ribosome. It is transcribed by RNA polymerase I as part of the 45S precursor that also contains 18S and 28S rRNA. Functionally, it is thought that 5.8S rRNA may be involved in ribosome translocation.
Source: RNAcentral
UGCAGGACACAUGAACAUCGACAUUUUGAACGCAAAUGGCGGCCCUUGACUUGUCUUGGGCCACUCCUGGCUGAGGGUCGG